CUAGAGAGGACUUAGAACCUCUCAAAAAGGGCAGGUCAGUCCUGCAUUUCUCUCCCCAUUCCCAGAGCCUGAUUUCUCUUUACUUGUACCGUGCAGUAACCCAACAAGAUGGUUUUAUUAGUAGUGUACCUACUUUCCAAGUAAAACCAAAUUUCUUAAUUUAAAAGUGCUGCAAACGAAUCACAUAAGGGAUAUGCUGCAAGGUGGAGACAAAACUGCAGUGGCAUCCAGUUAUUUCUCAUUAGUACACUACACUCUUGCCUAUAAGAAUCCCCACACUCUUGCCUAUAAGAAUCCCCACACCACCUCCAAAGACUUCCCUCCACAUACUUUAAUUUUUCAGCCAGAUAGCAAGUUUGAGAGUGAGUGUUUGGGAGAAUAGUUUCUGCAGAGUGCAUGUAGGCAGUUUCUACUCUCCAUAGGGACGCCUUCGCACGUCAUUUCAGACCAAAUCAAGGAAACUUUUCGACUAAGGAAAUAGCUUUUGAGGUGGGCAUUUUUUUCAAAACGUGAUUUUAGUAUGAAUAUGUGAAUCUUUUCUAAAUAUGUUUGUCAUGUCAUGUUUUGCUUUUACGAUUACCUAUCUGCUUGGUUAUGCCAAUUAUGUUAAAUCAAAUUCGGAUCCCAGUAGGGCCGCAAACCCUACUCGGACUAGUGUACACAUAUGGGGAUUGUGAGCUAGCUUUCGAGUUGGUCGGUCCAGUGACCGUCGUGGAAUGUGCCACAUUCCCGGUUCACAUACGUUCAAAUAUGGUAUCUAUGUUUAUGUGAUUGAGCAAUCAAUUUUAUGAAAUGAAAGGAAUUUAGUGACUCGGAUUUUUUAAAUGAAAACCCUGUGUUCACUCAAUUAUGGCUGACAAAUUAAAAGGAACUUAUUUUUGGCACUAUGCUCACUCAGUAUAUCAAGUACUCAGCCCUGCAUGUUUCUUUUCUAACGUGCGGGUUGAACGUGAACGAGGAAGCGAAGGUGUUGGGAAAUGACUAUUAAUAAGUAGUUAGGUAGCCCAAAGUAGUAUGUCUUCGUACAUACUAUUUUGUCUUGGACUCUUCCGCUGCAAUAGAACUAUGUUCUAAGAAUUUAUGAAUUUAGUCUC
This is a long non-coding RNA of Salvia splendens (bonfire salvia), 1094 nucleotides long. RefSeq lists it as uncharacterized. The transcript is spliced from 2 exons. Lineage: Eukaryota; Viridiplantae; Streptophyta; Magnoliopsida; Lamiales; Lamiaceae. The record is from RefSeq and is a predicted model, not a curated record.